Molecule: long non-coding RNA, 303 nt
Organism: Marmota monax (woodchuck)
Lineage: Eukaryota; Metazoa; Chordata; Mammalia; Rodentia; Sciuridae
Exons: 3
Source: RefSeq, a predicted model, not a curated record
UCUCUCUCUCUCUCUCUCUCUCUCUCUCUCUCUAGUCUCUUCAGUAAACCUUGCUACUGCAUUACAGGCUGGAGCUAGUAGAAGCCAUCCUGGACCUGGUUUUGAAGGCAACCUAUGUGUGGAGGUGGAUCUGAGAGAACCCUCUUUGUUCAAAAUGGUCAACAUCUCAGAGGGAGAACUGGCUCAAGGAGGUGGUCCACUGAAGCACAUUAUUCUCUAAGACACAACAACAAGAUAUCAUCUUGGAAGCAGAGAUGAAGCUUCACCUCCUGGAGCUUUGUUUAUGAACUACUAGCCCCUGGA